RNAcentral lists this ribosomal RNA (274 nucleotides) under uncultured bacterium. Its description in RNAcentral is "partial 16S ribosomal RNA". It matches the Rfam family "Bacterial small subunit ribosomal RNA", at positions 523 to 796 of the family's 1533-position model. The record is from RNAcentral.
AUACGGAGGGCGCAAGCGUUGCCCGGAAUCACUGGGUGUAAAGGGUGCGUAGGCGGGGCUGUAAGUCAGAGGUGAAAGCCCUCGGCUCAACCGGGGAAUUGCCUCUGAUACUGCAGCUCUUGAGUCCCGGAGAGGCCGCUGGAAUUCCUGGUGUAGCGGUGAAAUGCGUAGAUAUCAGGAGGAACACCGGAGGCGAAGGCGGGCGGCUGGACGGGGACUGACGCUGAGGCACGAAAGCGUGGGGAGCAAACAGGAUUAGAUACCCCAGUAGUCC